AAAUGAUGAUAUUUAUCUGUUGUACAUUAUAACAAAAAUCUUGAUUUUCGAAAACAGUUUUUUAAAAUGACGAGGUCCGACGUCAUUAUCCUGAGAUAGGCUCGAGCAUUGAUUCGGGCACAGGUUUCCGUAAUACGGUUUUUCCUGGUCGGCCUUGGCUAUCAAUGAGGGGUAAUUUUAUUAAACGCACAGUAUACAAUAUUUUGCUGUGGUUGUACAUAAUGAAAUGAUUGGUAAAUAAAAUGCAAUUUGAUUACUGAUUUAUAUGUCACGAUUAUAGAUGUAUUAUACAAUUAUAUCUGGCGUCCAUCACGUACGACGG
Molecule: long non-coding RNA, 322 nt
Filed under: Mytilus galloprovincialis (Mediterranean mussel)
Lineage: Eukaryota; Metazoa; Mollusca; Bivalvia; Mytilida; Mytilidae
Source: RNAcentral